This 25-nucleotide non-coding RNA is filed under the name Rattus norvegicus (Norway rat). The record is from RNAcentral. Lineage: Eukaryota; Metazoa; Chordata; Mammalia; Rodentia; Muridae.
UGAAAAGUUGUCAAGGGAUUAGUGU